UCCGGGACGAACUAACUAACAGUUUCAAACUCGGGUUGCAAAGCCUUAACUUGGAAUCGCUAGGAAACCCGUUGUUGGACAUAUGAUCUUGGGAUUCCGGAUCUGAUCCGGGAACCUCGAGUCAAAUGUUUGGGCACAUGGUAGUAGUAUCUUCGAUCUCGUUAGAGUUCUUUAGUUCGCCGUGCAUGUUCUUGUUUUAUUGGUGCAUGGCAAACUAAUUAACUUUUACUUAUUCUGGAUCGGGGGUGUUACAACUAAGGUGGUAUCAGAGCAUGGUUCACUUUGCUCACUUGGGAACCUGUUUUCAAUAAUUUAUCGAGUCAAAGGUGUCGCAAAAGGUAGAAUAGGAAACCAACGUGCUCCUUUGUUAGAUACGUUGGGAUUAGUACUUACCCUGGGUUGUACUGCAGUAUGUUUCAAAGACGUACAAGGAGUGACCAGCCAAUGAUGACACCACCAAGAUAUGGACAAUGUAAUUCUGAAAACCGCAGAGUCUAUUCAAACCUUGAGGUAACAGAUGAUUCUGCGAUAGUACAAGGAAAUAACCAUUACUAUGAACAAGAACAUGAGUCGACCGGGAGAAAUCCGACGGAUUCACAUAUGGGCUAUGAACAAGAAAAACGAUAUGAGGAUUUCAUGGAGAUGAAUCAAGCACCUGAUAUGUAUGGAUCAAGACGGAAUUAUGCAACAACACAUAAUCCAAGGCGGAAUGAAUCUGAGUUCAUGCACCGGGAAAGGACGCCCGAGCCACGUUGUAGACAAAAACAGAGGACAGCUGGGAGUUUGGAUCCUUUUAUAGUAUUGGUGCAAGGCUUGCUAGAUAGACUUGAUCAUAGAACCAGUGAAUCAUCAGAGCGAAGACCAUCCUCCUCUCCAGAUUACCUGAAGAUGGUUACGUUAAUGAAGAAGCUUGGAACCAUUAGAUACCCUGGAGGAACAGAUCCUUUCGAAGCGUCAGCAUGGCUGAGGAAUUUGGAGAAAAACUUUCGGGCCAUCCACUGCCCUGAUAAUUUCAAGAAGGAUGUGGCAAUAUACUACUUGACCAAAUAUGCUUCUGAUUGGUGGGAUAACGUGGAAGAAUACUAUAUGGUAAGAGAGAUCGACUGGGAAGAUUUUCAAAACGAGUUUGAGGGGAAAUACUUCCCACCUGAAGCAAAACACCGGCUGGAGAUUCAAUUCUUGGAGUUAACUCAAGGCAACCGGAAAGUCAGGGAAUAUGAUGCCGAGUUUACAAAGCUAAGGAAAUAUUCUCCUUAUGGACCAAGGAAUGAAGGUGCACUAAUUCGAAGGUUUAUAAGAGGAUUGCGAGCGGAAUUGGCUAGCCGACUGUAAGUAGUGAAGUUUCAUGGCCUUUAUGAAUUGGCAGAGAUAGCGGUAAAUGUUGAAGAAGGUAUGGAAAAGGAGCAAGCCAUGAUGAAGCAUGCAGAUCCAUCUCGCAAAACUGAAGGGCUAGGAAUACGAAGAAUGAAUAAUACAGAAUAAUUUAAUCGAAGGAAAGGCCGAGGAAGAAGGAAUGACGGACGGUUUAGGAAUGGCCCAGAUGUGUGUUACACUUGUGGUGGUACAAGCCAUUUUUCUAGCAGUUGUCCUUAUAGUCAGGGAAGGAAAGCCCCUGAUUAUAUUACUUGCUUCUCUUGUGGUGAGAAAGGGCAUUAUGCCAACAGUUACCCCCAUAAGAGACAGGUUACGCUUCCAGAACCACCCACUAGACUAGCAAUUGAACCAGCCCCGAGGCGCCAGGCAGUUGCAAAGCAAGUGAAUGCUUUAGAGUUAGGAAAUCCCGAACCACAACAGCCCCAUCUGGGCCUGAUCACAGGUAAGUAGGGUUUUAACUCAUUGCUUGUUUGUGUGAAUUUGACGCAUAAAAUAUAAAAUGUGAAAUAAAUAUUGUUUAGGAACAUUGUGUGUUGGUAGAGUUUAUGUGAAUGUUCUCUUCGACUCGGGUGCCACAUAGAGCUUUGUGAUACCUGAGGUAGUGUCGAGUUUUAAGGGAACCUUUACUAGAGUAAAAGUAGGUGUUUCGAUUAGAACCCCUGGGAACCAUAACCUUCAUGCCGAUAGUUGUGUACUUGGGAUUCCAAUCCAUGUGGGAUCAAUGGUAUAUCCGGCAGACCUUCUAGUUGUUCCUUUAGUACAACACGAAGUGAUUUUGGGAAUGGACUGGCUGUCGAGAUACUACGCGCAGUUGGAUUGUGGUCGAGGAAGGAUUACACUUGAAGAAAGAGGACAACCAUCAACGACAUACUAUGGGAUAUGUCCAAGUUCUGGAGUAUAGCUUGUAUCUGCUUUAAGAUUUAAGAAGGAUUUGAUCAAGGGCGAAGUAUAUUUGGUAACUCUGACUAUCCUUGGAGGAGACUUGAAAGAAGGGACGCAGUUGGAAGAGAUACCAAUAGUAAAAGAAUACCAGGAUGUAUUCAAGCCAUUGGAAAGAUUUCCCCCACCACGAAGUGAUCCUUUUACCAUUACAUUAGAUCCGGGAGCAGCCCCAACAGCGAAGGCACCUUAUCGAAUGGAUCCAACUGAGCUUGCUGAAUUAAAGAAGCAGUUGGAAGAUUUGAUAGAAAAAGAUAUUAGACCGAGUUCUUCCCCAUGGGGAGCACCAGUCUUAUUUGUGAAGAAGAAAGACGGCACCAUGCGGUUAUGCAUCGAUUAUUGAGGGAUUAACAAUGUUACAGUAAAGGACAAGUAUCCCUUUCCAAGGAUCGAUGAAUUGUUGGAUCAGCUUCAUGAGGCAAGCUGGUUCUCAAAGAUAGAUUUGGCAUCGGGAUACCAUCAGAUCCCUAUAUCAGAGUCCGAUAUCAUGUAGAUGGCUUUUAGGACCCGGUAUGGCCACUAUGAAUUUGUGGUAAUGCCUUUUGGUCUUACAAAUGCGCCGGAUGCUUACAUGCGCUUGAUGAAUGAUUUAUUUCGUGAUUACUUGGAUAAAUUUGUAAUCAUCUUCAUCGAUGAUAUACUUAUUUAUUCCAAAAGUAAAGAGGAACAUGCAGAGCACCUCCAAAAGGUGUUGGAGCGAUUAAGAAGCCAUAAGUUGUUCGCCAAGUUUAGUAAAUGUAGCUUCUAGAAAAGGGAGAUUGGAUUCCUUGGUCAUCGAGUUUCAGAGAAGGGUGUUGCGGUAGAUCCUGAAAAGGUUGAAGUGGUUAAGGAUUGGCCACGCCCUACCAGCGCUACCGAGGUUCGAAGCUUUCUAGGAUUGGCUGGAUAUUAUCGAAACUUUGUGAGGAAUUUUUCCAUCAUGGCCAAACCCUUGACGAGGCUGACUGGGAAAGAUAUAUCAUUUGAAUGGGAUAAGAAAGAGGAAAAGGCUUUUACACAAUUAAAGGAAGCUUUGACGACAGCACAUAUUCUUGCAUAACCUACUUCCGGAAGACCUUACACCAUAUACACUGAUGCUUCUCGAGUAGGACUGGGUUGUGUGCUGAUGCAGGAUGAAAAGGUCAUCGCCUAUGGUUCAAGACAGUAAAGGAAGCACGGGGAGAAUUACCCCACCCAUGAUCUAGUGAUGGCCACAGUGGUAUUUGCUUUAAAAAUAUGGAGAUCCUAUCUUUAUGGCGAGACGAUUCAAAUCUUUACUGAUCACAAGCGUCUCAAGUAUCUCUUUACUCAGUCAGAUUUGAAUUUGAGACAAAGGAGGUGGAUGGAGUUUAUCACGGAUUAUGACUUACAAAUCCAAUAUCACCCAGGAAAGGCAAAGGUGGUAGCAGAUGCACUGAGUCGGAGGAGAAGUGAUACAGCUAUUGAGAAAGACUUAGAAGCCUAAACGCAGAAUUCAAGAUGGUUAGUCUUUCAGCCAUAGAGGGCGAGGGCAGCGAGCCAUUGGGAUUACGAGCAGUGAAUCAAGCAAACCUCUUGCAAAGAAUUCGAGAAGAGCAGAAGGAAGAUGUGAAGCUAAAGAAGAUUAUAAAAGAUCUUGAAGAAUCAGGCGGAAUAAAUGAUAGUGGGUAUCAUUUGGCUGAUGAUAGAACCCUCCUACUGAACGGAAGGAUAACAGUACCUGUAGGAAAGGAGUUACGAGAAGAGAUAUUGAGAACCGUACACCACUCAGUAUUCAGUAUUCAUCCUGGAAGCACCAAUAUGUACCAGGAUAUACGUCGAUACUAUCACUGGCUAGGAAUCAAACGAUCAGUUUCUAAGUGGGUAGCUCAGUGCCAGACAUGCCAAAAAAUUAAAGCUGACCAUCAAGUGUCGGGAGGAUUAUUGCAAAGCCUACCAAUCCCAGAAUGGAAGUGGGAGUCAGUGGCUAUGGAUUUUCUAACGAGACUACCUUGAGCCCCAGAAAGAGGGAAUGAUACUAUAUGGGUGGUGGUAGACCGACUAACUAAGACUGCUCACUUUCUACCCAUUAGAGUUGUUGACAAGGUAGAAGUACUGGCAGAACUUUACUUAAAGGAGAUACUAAGAUUACACGCAGUUCCUGCCAACAUUGUAUCUGAUCGUGACCCAAGAUUUACGGCUUAAUUUUGGAGAGCUUUUCAGCAAGUAUUGGGGACUGAUCUUCAUAUGAGUACGGCGUUUCACCCUGAAACUGACGGGCAGACGAAGCGAACAAUCAGAACCUUGAAAGAUUUGCUAAGGAUGUGUGUUUUUGACUGGUCAGGUACAUGGGAACAAUAUUUACCUUUGGUAGAGUUUUCUUAUAAUAACAGUUACCAUGCAAGUAUUGGGAUGUCCCCAUAUGAGGCAUUAUAUGGACGACCUUGCCGCACACCACUAUGUUGGUCUGAAGUUGGAGAAAUACAUAAGUUAGGACCAGAUAUAGUAGAUGAGACAACAGAAAAGAUAAAGAUUGUCCGGGAGAAUAUGAAGAAAGCUCAAGACAGGCAGAAGAAGUAUGACGAUCAGAAUAGACGUGAAGUAAUAUUUCAAGUUGGUGAUUGGGUAUAUUUGAAGGUGGCCGCACAGAAAGGGAGAGAUAGAUUCGGAAAAGUAGGAAAGUUAGCCACUCGAUAUAUAGGACCAUACCGAGUGAUGCAACGGGUUGGAGAAGUAGCCUAUCAAUUAGAGUUACCAUCAGAUAUGGCUCUUCACCCACUUUUCCAUGUCUCGAUGUUAAGAAGGCAUAUACGAGAUCCUACCAAAGUAGAGCCGCAACGAGUUGAAAACCUUCGCUCCAACCUCACUUACCCUGAAGGACCACUUCGAAUCGGAGAAAGACGAAUAAGGAAACUGAAGAAUCGAGAGAUUCCUCAAGUACAAGUAUUUUGGGGAAAACAGCGCCGAGUAAUUGUGACAUGGGAAGAUGAAGAAAGGUUUAGAGCGACUCAUCCUGAACUGUUUUUAGAAGAUGAUGAAGACCAGAUGGGUGGAACAUCAAACCACUAAGAAUUCGGGAUGAAUUCUAUUGAGAGGGGGAGAAUGUAAUAACCCUCUAUAAAGAGUAAAACGCAGACAAGGAAAAAUCAUGUAAUAGACGAGAAAAUUACUCAAGUAAGUGGAAGUCGGGUUGAUCUUUUCCUGUGGAUGUUUGUGGAUCCCAAGGUACAUAAGAAAAAUUUAGAAAGUCUUAGAAUAGUUUUCCAUUUGAAGAAAUAAAUUCUUCGGGAAGUUUAGUGGAUUGAAAAUGCUCGCGGUUCGGCCUAGAAUGUCCUAGUCGAACGAGAAAAUUAAUCGAAAAAUUUAUUAUAGGGCCUUAAGAUAGGAAUGACCUUAGAAUUAUUUUAAAAAUGUUUUGGUCUAAGAAAUCUAGGUUUUUGUCAAGGGGAAAAAUUUCCGCCAGCUCGGAUCAGCUUAUAACACGUACAUGAUUUGAAUACGGCCCAUUCGGGGCCAUCUACGAUGUGUUAAGAAUAUCUGGAAGCUUCCGGAUGAUGCAGCUGCUUGCUUACCUCCUUCAGGCAGCUGGACAUGUGCUUCUCCUUGACUGGACCACCUCCAAGCAGUUCUUGUCGCAUUUCUAUUGGAUGCUUUGGUGGCUGGCCACAAAGCUUGGUUUUAUUGGCCAAAAUUGUGGCUAAGACACCAAGCUGUCUCCUAUUGGUUGGUUUGGGAGGCAGAGACACCUCCUGCUUGCCAUGCACGACCAAAACCCUUCCAUGAGCUCAUUCUCCAGCCUAUAGAUAGCAGACCACCCCCUUAGUUCAUUCACCACUUUUAAAACCCGACCAUAGGCACCCGAGAGAACCCGAUAACACCCGAACCUUAAGGUAACUUUUUAGUCUUUAGCUUUCAUUUUUUUUAGUUAGCUUUCUGUUCUUUCUUUGCUUUCUUUUCCUUUCAUACCUUACCCUUCCUGUGUCUAGAUUUCCAAAGUUCUACAGUUUUGCGAUAAAAUUUUAAAGUGAAGCCGACCGCGAGAUAGGAGCGUUUGCAGUCAGAAACUUUCAUCUAAGUGUUGAGGUGAGUCUCGGUUAAGGGUUAUGAUUGUUGUGUGUGCGACUAGCUCCUGCAAAACAAGAGUAUUGGUUGAUGCAUUGCUAGGUUGUGCGUUUAGAUAUAUAAUGAUAUGAUAAUGAUUGAUGUUUGUGAAAGAUUUUGAGUUAUAUCGUCGGGCCUCGGCUCGAGGGGUAUAACAUGAUUGUGAUACAUUGAUGUGUGUUGCAUAUACUUAUGUCAUUGUAUUCUAUUAUUUGGGCCUCGGCUCGGAUAAUAUAACAUGUUUGAUCAUAUCUUAACAGGGAAACCCGUAAAUCCACGGACUUGAUCCGUGAGGUUCCGACACUCGGGUGGAGUGUCGUGAGAGUCAUUGGUGUCCACUCGAGGCCUGUGUCUUGUCCGGGACCUUACCAAAAUUAGUCCCGGGCAGGACGUGAAGACACAUGUGAUAGGAAUAGCUACCCUCGACCGUGUAGCUGCAUGACGAUGCGACAACUGUGUUAUCCGGGCCAUCGGCUUUUUAGACUUUGUGUUUAGAGUCAAUGGGCGCAAGAAGGGAUGUGUUAUGGAAUUCGUAUCGAGAUAGGAACCAAUGGCGAGAGGCAGUCCUCGAUGAUCGAUGAUGAUCUAACCACUCGUGAAGAGUGGAUGCUUGUUUACGUGAUUGCUUUAUUUUUGCAUUGUAUAUUUGCUUUAUUUUUGCAUUGUAUAUUUCUUAAUAUAAUUGAUCUAUGUUGCUUAAUGUUUGAUGCAUAAUGGGGGGAUAAAUAAUUGUUAGGAAACCCGACUCACUGACCAAAAUAGUUGCUCAUUAGACUCUUUGUUUUGUAGGUAACCCGUAGUAGGUUCCAUUUGGGAUCGGGGGAGCACAAAGCUGUUGGUGUAGAUUUGCUACCUUUUACAUGUACGUUUUGUAAUAUGUAAGAUACGGUUUUGAACAUCGGCCGAGCAUGUAUAAAGUUUUGAUGUGGUUGAACUUAAAGUAUAUAUGAAUAAGAAAAGGUUUGUGAAAUGCUUGGAUUCCAUAUGACACUACUCCUAGUCCGGGACGAACUAACUAACAGUUUCAAACUCGGGUUGCAAAGCCUUAACUUGGAAUCGCUAGGAAACCCGUUCUUGGACAUAUGAUCUUGGGAUUCCGGAUUUGAUCGGGAACCUCGGGUCAAAUGUUUGGGCACGUGGUAGUAGUAUCUUCUAUCUGGUUAGAGUUCUUUAGUUCGUCGUGCAUGUUCUUGUUUGAUUGGUGCAUGGCAAACUAAUUAACUUUUACUUAUUCUGGAUCGGGGGUGUUACAGGCUUGGUCGGUCGCUACGUUGCGACCGACUUGUUGCGGAUCGGUCGCUACGUA
RNAcentral lists this long non-coding RNA (7657 nucleotides) under Brassica napus (rape). RNAcentral describes it as "long non-coding RNA (BNAP_LNC015505)". Lineage: Eukaryota; Viridiplantae; Streptophyta; Magnoliopsida; Brassicales; Brassicaceae. The record is from RNAcentral.